RNAcentral lists this ribosomal RNA (440 nucleotides) under uncultured bacterium. RNAcentral describes it as "partial 16S ribosomal RNA". It matches the Rfam family "Bacterial small subunit ribosomal RNA", at positions 338 to 795 of the family's 1533-position model. The record is from RNAcentral.
CCUACGGGGUGCAGCAGUGGGGGAUAUUGCACAAUGGGGGAAACCCUGAUGCAGCGACGCCGCGUGUGGGAAGACGGUCUUCUGGAUUGUAAACCACUGUCCCCAGGGACGAAAAUGACGGUACCUGGGGAGGAAGCUCCGGCUAACUACGUGCCAGCAGCCGCGGUAAUACGUAGGGAGCAAGCGUUGUCCGGAAUUACUGGGUGUAAAGGGAGCGUAGGCGGGGAUGCAAGUUGGGUGUCAAAACUACCGGCUCAACCGAUAGUCGCACUCAACACUGCAGCUCUUGAGUGAAGUAGAGGCAGGCGGAAUUCCUAGUGUAGCGGUGACAUGCGUAGAUAUUAGGAGGAACACCAGUGGCGAAGGCGGCCUGCUGGGCUUUUACUGACGCUGAGGCUCGAAAGUGUGGGGAGCAAACAGGAUUAGAUACCCUAGUAGUC